GUAGGGAAUCUUCCGCAAUGGACGCAAGUCUGACGGAGCAACGCCGCGUGAGUGACGAAGGUUUUCGGAUCGUAAAACUCUGUUGUGAGGGAAGAACACGUACCAACUAACUAUUGGUACCUUGACGGUACCUCACCAGAAAGCCACGGCUAACUACGUGCCAGCAGCCGCGGUAAUACGUAGGUUGCAAGCGUUGUCCGGAAUUAUUGGGCGUAAAGCGCGCGCAGGCGGUUCCUUAAGUCUGCUGUGAAAGCCCACGGCUCAACCGUGGAGGGUCAUUGGAGACUGGGGAACUUGAGUGCAGAAGAGGAAAGUGGAAUUCCACGUGUAGCGGUGAAAUGCGUAGAGAUGUGGAGGAACACCAGUGGCGAAGGCGACUUUCUGGGCUGUAACUGACGCUGAGGCGCGAAAGCGUGGGGAGCAAACAGGAUUAGAAACCCGAGUAGUCC
This 449-nucleotide ribosomal RNA is filed under the name uncultured bacterium. Its description in RNAcentral is "partial 16S ribosomal RNA". It matches the Rfam family "Bacterial small subunit ribosomal RNA", at positions 354 to 796 of the family's 1533-position model. The record is from RNAcentral.